Long non-coding RNA from Dufourea novaeangliae, 316 nucleotides. RefSeq lists it as uncharacterized. The record is from RefSeq and is a predicted model, not a curated record. The transcript is spliced from 3 exons. NCBI's taxonomy places the organism in Eukaryota, Metazoa, Arthropoda, Insecta, Hymenoptera, Halictidae.
GGUGAACCUUUUCGGGGCGGGAGGACUGGUAAGGUUGAACGACUCGUACGGAUUGAUUGAAAUCGCAAACGCGUGUUGCUGCUCGAAUUUCGUUCCACGAUUUAUUCAAGGUUCUCUUACCGAAUUUAUCGCCAAAGAAAUAUCUAUUCGAAUUGAAAAUAUUAUCAAGUUGCAUUAUUCCUCAUCGAUUUAUAUACACACGACAACGAGGAACGGUAGAUCGUAAAUGGAAGGACGUAGGAGAGGACAAAGCACCCCCAUAAACUAAUAACGAGGCAAAUAUUUGUAAAUGAGCUUUUCUGCGGGACCGGUUGGC